GGCGUAAAGAGUGGUUAAGCAGCCCCCCCCCUAACUAAAGCCAAACGCCCCCAAAGCCGUUAUACGCACUCCGAAGGGCAGAGGACUCCCCACGAAGGUGGCUUUAAACCAGCUGAACCCACGAAACCUAUAGAACAAACUGGGAUUAGAUACCCCACUAUGUAUAGCUAUAAACUUUGAUAGACCCCUACACGUCUAUCCGCCCGGGGAAUUACGAGCACCAGCUUAAAACCCAAAGGACUUGGCGGUACCUUAGAUCCCCCUAGAGGAGCCUGUUCUAGAACCGAUACUCCCCGUCUAACCUCACCACCCCUAGCCCCCCAACCGCCUAUAUACCGCCGCCCCCAGCUCACCCCGUGAGGGAUUAAAAGUAAGCAAGACUGAUAUAGCCAAAGACGUCAGGUCGAGGUGUAGCGCAUGGGGUGGGAAGCAAUGGGCUACAUUCUCUGACCCAAAAUAUACGAAAAGGGUGUUGAAAACACACCCCUAAAGGAGGAUUUAGCAGUAAGAGGAAAACAGAGUGUUUCCCUGAAG
Molecule: ribosomal RNA, 534 nt
Filed under: Lampris guttatus (North Atlantic opah)
Lineage: Eukaryota; Metazoa; Chordata; Actinopteri; Lampriformes; Lampridae
Description: partial 12S ribosomal RNA
Rfam family: Bacterial small subunit ribosomal RNA
Source: RNAcentral